RNAcentral lists this ribosomal RNA (490 nucleotides) under uncultured bacterium. RNAcentral describes it as "partial 16S ribosomal RNA". It matches the Rfam family "Bacterial small subunit ribosomal RNA", at positions 29 to 507 of the family's 1533-position model. The record is from RNAcentral.
AGUGAACGCUGGCGGUGGGCCUAACACAUGCAAGUCGAACGGCAGCACAGGAGAGCUUGCUCUCUGGGUGGCGAGUGGCGGACGGGUGAGGAAUACAUCGGAAUCUGCCCAGUCGUGGGGGAUAACGUAGGGAAACUUACGCUAAUACCGCAUACGACCUUCGGGUGAAAGAGGGGGAUCGCAAGACCUCUCGCGAUUGGAUGAGCCGAUGUCGGAUUAGCUAGUUGGCGGGGUAAUGGCCCACCAAGGCGACGAUCCGUAGCUGGUCUGAGAGGAUGAUCAGCCACACUGGAACUGAGACACGGUCCAGACUCCUACGGGAGGCAGCAGUGGGGAAUAUUGGACAAUGGGCGCAAGCCUGAUCCAGCCAUACCGCGUGGGUGAAGAAGGCCUUCGGGUUGUAAAGCCCUUUUGUUGGGAAAGAAAUCUUUCAGGCUAAUACCCUGGGAGGAUGACGGUACCCAAAGAAUAAGCACCGGCUAACUUCGUG